UGGUAAUGCCGGAUGCUCCAGUUGAUCGCAUGGUCUUCUGGGAAAGCUUUCGCGGUAUGGGAUGGGGUCGCGUCCUAUCAGCUUGACGGCGGGGUAACGGCCCACCGUGGCUUCGACGGGUAGCCGGCCUGAGAGGGCGACCGGCCACAUUGGGACUGAGAUACGGCCCAGACUCCUACGGGAGGCAGCAGUGGGGAAUAUUGCACAAUGGGCGCAAGCCUGAUGCAGCGACGCCGCGUGAGGGAUGGAGGCCUUCGGGUUGUAAACCUCUUUUAUCGGGGAGCAAGCGAGAGUGAGUUUACCCGUUGAAUAAGCACCGGCUAACUACGUGCCAGCAGCCGCGGUAAUACGUAGGGUGCAAGCGUUAUCCGGAAUUAUUGGGCGUAAAGGGCUCGUAGGCGGUUCGUCGCGUCCGGUGUGAAAGUCCAUCGCUUAACGGUGGAUCCGCGCCGGGUACGGGCGGGCUUGAGUGCGGUAGGGGAGACUGGAAUUCCCGGUGUAACGGUGGAAUGUGUAGAUAUCGGGA
Molecule: ribosomal RNA, 526 nt
Filed under: Bifidobacterium longum subsp. suillum
Lineage: Bacteria; Bacillati; Actinomycetota; Actinomycetes; Bifidobacteriales; Bifidobacteriaceae
Description: bacterial SSU rRNA
Rfam family: Bacterial small subunit ribosomal RNA
Source: RNAcentral